This 13322-nucleotide long non-coding RNA is filed under the name Ananas comosus (pineapple). RNAcentral's name for it is "long non-coding RNA (ACOM_LNC023572)". The record is from RNAcentral. Lineage: Eukaryota; Viridiplantae; Streptophyta; Magnoliopsida; Poales; Bromeliaceae.
UGAGUUGCAUGCACCUAGUGCACAAGUGCAUGUGAGAGAGAAAAAGGAGAGUUUGUCUUCUUUGUGGGUUUAUAGAAGACAAGAAAAGGGUAAGAGAGAUUCAAAAAGAGGGCUCGGGUUGUAACUACUCUAUGCAGAAAAGGAGUCAGGUGUAAUCUUCUCUUAUUUAAUGAAUCUUAUUUUACCCGCAAAUUUUCUAUUUUGGUUUUUCUCUCUUUUGUGAUCGUAUCAGCUUUUAAUUUGCUGAGAAAACGGGUUUAUGGUAAAAUCCAAUUCGACGCUUCCGUUGCGGAAUCCCAACAAUCGGUACCGGAUCCACAACAGUCGGUAUCGGAGUGGGUUGCGAAUUCUCAAAAUCCGAUAUCGAGGCGAGUACCGGAUUCCCAACAGAACACGCACGUCACUACAACAAAAACGGUCUAUAGCGACACUUUUAAAUGUAGAUACAUGUCAAAAAAGUACCGCUAGCUAAAAUUACCGACACUUUUAAAAAGUAUUGCUAUAUGUGGGGUUGCUAGGUAUAUAGUGACAGUUAAAGAGUGUCGCUAUAACCUAAAAAAGUGCUGUUAAUUUACCAACACUUAUUUAAGCAUUUAGCAACCGCCGAAACUCUAUCUCGUUCGCUGCGGUGGCGGAGGAGGACGACAGGAAAAGCUCUUCGUCUAGAAUUUCAGUGGAUUGAGUGAAGAGAGAAGAAAAGAUGGUAAUUGAUUUUUCUUUUUUUUUUUCUUUUCUGUUUGUAAUCGGGCCAAAUGGACUGGGUGUGGUGGGUUGAGUAGAGUAAUCUUUUAUUUUUGAUUGGAUUGAGCUUUAUAUUUAGGCAUUAGUAAAUAUUUUUUUAAGUUUUAACAUAAAUGGAACACUUACUCAAAAGUGUCCCAAACAUGUGUCCCUAUAACCUAAUUCUGUUGUAGUGUGUCCGGCAUGGACAUGCACGAAUUAUAGAAAUGUCCAUUAUACACAGUUGCAUAUUUAACCACUAGUUUAAUUAAUUUUUCUUACCUUCAGUAUUGCUGCAGACAUCAAUUGCAACUAAACAAAAAGGAUUUGUCACGAGAAGUGCUUUUGCAUCACCUCAAAUGCUGAGACAUUUAGGGUAUGUUUGUUUGGAUGAAAGUGGGGUGGAAGUGAAGAGAAUGAAAGUCGUUUUCACCGUAAACGAUAACUUUCGGCCCAAAAUUCUUAAACCCGGUUAUUAUUACUAGUUCAUAUCUGAUGUGGGAUUAUUGGGGUGUGACAGACUCCUCCCGUUAAGGCCCUGACGUCCUCGUCAGUCACGUCAGUCCAGUCACACACACAGCCGAAGAUCACCAGGCGAUGUGAGACUCGUCUCACUAGCCUUGUCAUCCAGACCUUGGCAUAGCCGGUUAUCUUAUCAUAAAGACUCCGGCAUAGCCUAUCACCUUGUCUUUCAGACCCUGGCUCAACCAAGACUCGCCACACAUUUCCAGCUGGUGAUUGGCUCUGAUACCAAAUGUAACGACUCAGCCCACUAGUAACAAUAGCUCGUUGGGCCCAACCACCGGGCCAAAAUGAUUAAGCACAGUUAUUAUUACUAGUAUUUAAGUCUCUUAUAUACCCAAUCAUAUCCCCAUUCAUAUCCGAUGUGGAAUUAUUAGGGUGUGACAGUUAUGAUCGAAACUCGAGUUAACCUAAAACGGCGUAAUUGACUUCGGCCCAUCGUGAGUUGAAAUCAAUUACGAUGAAGAGAUAUGAAGAAAAAAUAAUAAAAUAAUAUAUUAGAAAAAGAUAGUUAUAUUUAAUUAAAUAUAUUUAAUUAUGAUACUAAUUACUCUUUUAUUCAGUUGACAUAUUUAAAAUAUGAUAAAAAUUGAUUAGUUAAAUUUUAAUAUGUUCUUUAUUUAAUUUGUAUAAUUAAAAUAUGAUAAAAAUUAAUUAAUUAAUUAAUAAUCUUUUUUAACUUUAUAAUUUUAUUGUCGUAUUACUAUAAUUUAUGUAUAAAAAAUAAUAUAAUUAUUUUAAAUUAAAUUUUUGUCACGCCCCGGAUGUCUCGUUCCCCGGGCACGUCGACAAAUCCGCCGUAUACAAAAAAAAUUUUCCUGUAUACGAAGCGACAGCUGUACCUGUAAGUCAAACACUACUACGAACAGUAGUAGAGAGCUGCUAGAGAAAACAGAAGUUAAACAAACUGAGUUUCAUAUACAUAGUCCAAAUCCAAAAUACAGAGUUACUCGCACUGGCGAGUUAAGUCUACUAUGUACAUAAACUCGAAACAAAACAUCUACCUGCAGUACGGGUGCCUCUAGCUCUGCUCGUCGGGUAGGGCUGUAACUCGCAACGCCCUUGCCUCGAUCCUGAUCCGCGGAAGACGCAGCAGCCGAAACCUGUGGCUCUGCAAAACAAGAGUAACAACUGGGCGUGAGAACUACUACAAAACAAGUAGUCCUCAGUGGGUACCGCCCAAAACAACAUCGGUCACCCACUAAGUCUACAGAAGGGAGCAAGGAUAGUAGGAAAAGCAGGAAGUACACUCUACCGCUAUCAAUCACUACACUAUCAUGCUCUACGCUAACCAACUGUAGCAAAUGUCAAAUGACCCAAUUCAAUUCGGGACUGUAAGCAUACCUGUCCCCCGGACUAUGGAAUACACCGUCCCUGCCCCGGUUGCGACCUCAUCAGGCUCUAUCACACCUAACUGCAGUCCGUGAGGAGACAAGUCCAACUGGCAUGAGCGAUCACAACAGUACGAAAAGCACAAACCUGACUCCGGCAGGUGGCACUCGGGCGCUAAACCAACCGAGUAUUGACGCGUAUCUCUGUCGAGCUCAAACAGGCUCUGAAAGCAAGUCAAGAAAUCGACUCUAGCUGUGUCUAACAACCCAACAAAUAACGUGCCUCGCACAAUCAGACGCCAAAAGGCGAUCGGGUCCACCGUCAACCUCAACGGCACCCUACAGCUCGGAACACGUCGCCUGAACGAACCCUUGUAAAAUCCCCUCGCGAACCAAACAGUGAGAUAUAUUCUAAACUACCUGGAGUACCUCGUUCUCGAAAUUACUGGCGACAGUAACAAUUGUAAUAACUGGGCUCCUAGAGCUAAAUCAGGCCAGUUUAAGAUAUGACGAUCCCAAUCGUGUUUCCUAAGUCAAAUCCAGCUCUCAAAUGUACAUUUAAGACUUACUAUCAAUGCUUCUCAAUACUGAUUAAUCCAGGAUAGCACAUGAAUAUCAAAGCUACAACUGAUUACCGAAACUAAAAUCAUUACUAAUGUCGACAAUUUACGGUACAUAGGAAUAAACCGCAUAUAAACCCACCUCGUAUCGCUAACCACGCAGGGAGUGAGUCACCAAAAAAAUUCUUCCAAAUCCAACUGGGAAAAAUCAUAGGGUGUCCAGCUCGAAGUUCGAAUCGCUCCUGCACACAAUGGCUGCAACAGAAGAACUCCAACUUCAAAUUCUGCUUCUGAAACACAGCAGCCAGAGGAGAACUAAUUCAACCCAGCUACACCUGUCACCAAAUCGAAAAUAGGCUUCGUGGAUUCCGUCUUCGAAGUCCUGAAACAAAUCGAACAAUACGAACCGAGAUCACGACCACGUCGAAAUCGACCGCUGCCUAACCGAGUAUAGCCGAAACGCCAAACGGUUCGACGCUGAAAAUCUGCAGGGACACACCUAGCUCGAAUUUGAAGAAGCUUGUGAAAUAAUAAGCAAUUUGACGGCACACCCACCACGACAGCGACGGCUACGUACUGUGCCGACUCUCGAGGACGCGCGAUAACACACCCACUCGCCCGGCACUCCGUGCGAUUACGGCGGAACAAACCGUAGCUCGAAACUGCUCCACAGCGCGACGUCGACGUGCGAAUCCACUUCGCGCUACCUCUACGCUGCUCCUCCGCUUCAGCUCUUCCACUCCACACAAAAGAGAAAGAAAAAUAUAUUAGAGAGUGUAGGCUGUUCCCUCAAUAUUGAGAUGCAUAACCAUGCAUGGGCACGUGCAUCCCACAUGUCCAUCUACUACUACAUAUAUAUUAUAUAUAUAUAUAUAUAUAGAUAUAUAUAUAUAUAUAUAUAUAUAUAUAUAUUAUGUAUAUAUAUAUAUAUAUAUAUAUGUAUGUAUAGACAUGGGCAUGUGGCAUCCAUAUAUAUAUAUAAAGGAUACUACAAUUUUAAUUAUAUAAAAAGAUAAUUAUAUUAUUUUUAUUUAUUAAAUUAUUUACUAUUUAUACAUAAAUUAUAGUUUUAUAUCAUGCACUUUCUAUCUAACAAAUAGCAGAAUUAAUGAAACUUCACUUUCAUAACUACAAAACAAACAGCGAGGAAGAAGUAGUUUUCACCGAACUCCACUUCAACCCAAAGUCUAGUUUCGGUGAAACAAACAUGCCCUUACUGCUUCUUACUGGUUGAGACAUGUUGUAUGAGCCAGGGUGUUUGGAAGCAUGAUUUGCUCUGAUACCAAUUAAUGAAAGUGUGAUUUAUUUUGAUACCAAUUGUUAGAAGUGUGAUUUUCUGAUAUCAAUUGUUGAAACUGGUAUUUGUGCUGAUAUGGAUUAUAUGAUUCAGAAUCUGAAAUUCUAAAAUAAAAUAAUAUGGAAAAGAGACAUUAGGAAAAGAAGAUAACUAAACUAAUAUUUUAUUAAUAAAAAGUAAUUAAUUAUAUCAUGGGCAACACCCAUACAGCCAUGUCUAUUAUAAUUUAUUCAUCUAAUUAACCAAUGUCUAACUAUUUAUAGCUGUUAAGUCAUAAAAUAUGAUUAAUCUAACUUUUACUUUGGAUAACUACAAAUCCAAAUUAUAAUCAAAUAAAAGACUUAAACUUAUCUCUAAUUACAUUUUAAUUAAGUUUGGAGCAUUAUUCUAACAAAAAUAUUUAUUGUUUUCAAUGGAACGUCUAUCCAUCGACAUAAAUCCGUAUGAACCAACUGUAGAGUCUUUGCGGCUCUGACGAAUUUUUCUUCGGGAAACGGAUUUCUAUGUUGCUUUCCGAAAAUGCAACCUUCACAAAUUUGGUUUGAAUAAUUUAUAUAGGGUAACCCUUUCACCAUAUUUUUGCUAGUCAAUUUUGACCAAACCGUAAAUGCCAUGAACCAAGAUUCAUCAUACACAAUUGUAUUGAAACAAGAUAAAGUAUCAUUAUCAAUUCUCAUAGGAAACAUGCAAUUUCUAGUCAUUGACACUCUAACAAUUAAUCUAUUAUCUUUAUCCUUCCAUUCGCAAAUUUUCGUUUCAGUAUGCACAAUAUGACCCUUUGCUUAAAAUUAGCCAAUACUUAAUAGAUUACAUUCUAAUCCAAGCACAUAAUAAACAUCAGCUAUUAUAAUAUGAUCACCAUUAUAUGCUCGAAUUAAAAUGUCAUCUUUUCCUUGAACAACAAUUUUUCUUUCAUCUCCCGAUUUUGCUAUUGUAUUUACUUUAUCAUCUAAAUUUAUAAAUAUAUCCCUUUUACCACACAUAUGGUUGCUACAACCUGAAUCUAAAUAAGAAAUAUUAUUUUUUGAUGUUUCAACAAUAUUGCAAAUGAGAAGCACAGGUGCAUUAUUUUUAGCCUUAAAUUUGAAAUUUUAUUCUUAUUUUCAACAAAAUUUGUAUUAAUAUUAUUCUGCUCAUCCGCUUGUUUUCUUCUACAUUCAGAUUGAUAGUGCCCAUAUUUAUUACAAUAAUAAUAUUGAAUUCGAGAUUUGUCAUAUCUUUGCUGAUUGUGGUAAUUAUCUCUCCCUUUUGUUCUUCUAUUUGAAUUUGAACCAUUUGUAUCACCAACUGCUGUUUCAUUUUGACCUCGGCCUCUGCAGCGGCCUUGCCUGUGUUCGCCACCACGGCCGCAUCCUCUGCCGCCUCUAUUUUCUCCCUGAGUUCUAUCGCUGAUUGUCAGUUGGGUUUUGAGAGCUUGUUCAACUGUGCACUACGCUCUCAGUUUCAUACAAUGUGCGUAUAUUUGGAAUGAUCCUAACAAAUCUUCUACUGUUAUGUUGUUUAUGUCUUUGGCCGCCUCAAUCGAAGAAACGGUGUGAUCAUAUUUGCUAGUUACUGAUUUCAUAAUUUUUUCAACAAUUAAUUUGUCGGGCUAGUCUUCUCUAUUCAUUUGUAUUUGAUUUGAUAUGGAUACUACCCAACUAAAAUAAUCAUCGAUUGAUUCAUAUUCGUUCAUCUGUAAAGAUUCAAAUUCACCUUUAAAAGUAUGGAUUCGUACAUUUUUUACUUUAUCUGCUCCUUGGUAACUACUCUCAAGUAUGUCCCAGGUCUCUUUCGUUGCGUUGGCAUUCGAUAAUCUCUCAAAAACAACUCAUCCACCGCCUAAUAUAGAAAGAAUAAUGCCUUUCUAUCUUUCUUUCGGCAAUCUUUGAGCGCUUCCUUCUUUGCAGCAGCGAGCGUUUCGAACUCACUGUCGAUGACAUGUUUGAAGUCAUCCUUCACAAUGUCCCAUAACUCCUGCGAUGAGAAUAAGUAUUGUAUCUGAAUACUCCAGUAAUCAAAAUUCUUUCCUGUAAACUUCAAAAGCUGUGGUUGAAUCAUCCCGUAUAGGGCCAUGAUCAAUUAUGUAUGUCGAUGUCGAUGGAGAGCGCAAUGCCGGCACGUUCCACGUCCUCGAUCAUGAAGCCGACGAUCUGUUAUUCAUUGUAAGGCUUCUUCAACCUGGCUCUGAUACCGCUUGUAGGAUGAAGAGAAGUAUUGCAGCGAAUUAAACUAAAAACUUUAUUAAAUAUUUUUGGACUAAAUUUCGAUGGUGGAUUAUUUUUCACACAUUUACAGUGAUCUAUAUAUAGACAUAAAUCAAAAUCCUAAUGGCAAUAAUUGAACAAGAUUUAAACUUAUCUUUUAUGUCUAACCAAUAAAAUAUUAAGAGAUAAGCCUGACAGAAAUAAAUCUAAACUUAUCAAAACUAUUAGGUUACUUAUCAACACAAGGCAUGAUAUAUAAUAUAAUAAGAAUAAUUCAGUUGUCUAGUGUGAUAAUGUCUCAAAUAUUAUGUCAUAUAUUUCAUAGCGGAGUAAAAAAAAUAUAUGUGAUGUAUGUAUGUAUAAGAGUACUGCUACUUAUUGAAUGACUAGCAUAUUUGUAUUCUAAAGAGCAUGUGCAUGCAGUACUUGGACAAUACUAUGAAUUAAAUUAGGAAGAAAGAAGGUGUAUAGAUUGUCUUGAAAUAUACUACAUAUGUAUUAGCUGCUAUUUACACAGUUUCUACAAAAGGUGAUGGACGUAGGCAUGCACAUGCACUACAACAAAAUUACCUUUUCGCGGCAAUUAUUUUAUAAAUUAGCGGCGAUUAUAAUCGCCGCUUCUCUCUUUAUCGGCAAUUAUAAUAAUUGCCAUUAUAAAAGGGGUCGCUAAGUCUUAGCGGCAAUUAUGUUGGCGGAAAAUAAUUGCCCGGCAAUUAUAAAGGCCAUUAAAAACAAAAUAUCUGCCUAUAAAAUAUUUAACAAUAAUCAUAAAUGCCAACAAAGAUAACAUAAAUUGCCACUAAACAUAAAAGGCAUUAAAUCAUCAUUAAAAAUCAUAUAUUUAAUUAAUCACUACAAAAGUUUCAAAAAAUAAUACAUAUACAAUAAAAACUAAGAACCCGACAUUCAAGAAAAAUCAAAUAAUCUGAAUAUAGAAGCCUAUUACAUCUCAAAAGUAUUAUGAGUACAAAUAAAUGUCAAAAUCAAUUUUUAUUACAAAACAAAUGUCAAUCAAAUAUUAUAUAGCUAAAAAAAAUUCGAACUACAAGAAGAUUAAGCUGCAAUUAAAAGCUUUUAUAGGCAGAAGGUAAGUUCUAUGCACUCCAAUAGAGAAGUUCAAACUACACAUCAAGAAAACUCAUCCUUAAAGUGCGAUCCAUUGGCUUAAGAAGAAUAAUCUGCAAAAAAAAUAUAUAAACAUAAAUGGUCAACAAAUUAUUAACAAAUAUGCUAAGAAAAUAUAUUUAGAAUUUAUAAGAUAUUAUAGAUUGCCAUGUCACUAGAUUGAGGUGUACCAAAAAAAAAACUAGAGCAUCCUGCAUUUUGUGCAAUUUUGUCGUAAUGAGUACUUGAAUGAUCAAGAACCUAUUUUACAACCAUAUAAGAAACACAUUUUACAACAAUAUCUUUUAUACUUAGACAAAAUAAACAAUAGACAAAUAGAGAAAAAGUAUUUUAAAAAUCAUAAAAAAGAAGUAAUUUUCUCAAACAAAUAGAUAAAAAAGAAUAUGAUAUAUAGAUAAAUUUGAAUGUGCUAAUGAAUACUCUCACCGUCUCGUGGGAUGUAGAAGCAGAUGAUAGUACCUCUUCAGGAAACCUUCUAUUAAUGAUUGACCUCAUCAGUGCAAUUUCAGAAUCUAGUCUAGCUUGAUUUUCUGUCAUAACCUUCAUCUCAUUCUCAUGAUACCGUUCCAUCAUUUUUAUUUUUUUUCCCAAUUGUUUCACUCUCUCACAAUCUCUAGAAGCUAUUUAAUUUGAAGUGCUUGGAGCCCACAAACUAGUAGGAGUCGGACCAAGUCCAAGCCCACGCACUUGACCAUGUCUCUCCAACCCUAUUACUUGAGAGAAUAUAUCACCUUCCCAAGCAACACGUUUGUUGUCAUACUCUAUAGAAUUUGAUAGCUUUUUCAUUUUUUGCUUCAUAGAGUUCUAAACAUAAAAUAAAGUAGCAUUAAUUAAACAUAAAAUAGUAGGUGAUAUUAAAAAUAACUAUGACAAGAAUACAUUCAAUUAACCAAACAAAAUACAUAUAAAUACAACUAUGACGAGAAUGCAUGCAACCAACCAACCAAAAUACGUAUAACUAUAACAAUGACAAGAAUACAUGCAACCAACCAACCAAAAUACAAGUAGCAUUACUAAUAUAAGCAACAUAGCACAUUGACAGUGAAAGUGCAUUGAUAUUGGAAAUCAUCCAUAGGAAAAGAAGAGGAUUAAUUUGGGGGAAGCACAAGCACUUGCAACUAGCCAAACAAAAUACAUGCUAAAAAUAAAUGUAGUAACAGUCUCAAUCAUCAUUCUAUGAAGAAAUUGAUAAGUUUUUUACUUGGCACUAGCGCAUAUAUCUGUUAUAUAUCCAGAUGAAUCAGGAAGAAACUAACAACACUAUGAUAGAAAGUAUUUCAUAAUAGACCAAAACCAUCAAAAACAUGUAAAGCUUACAAUAUUCUGAAUUGAUUCUUCAUCAAUUGGCCUUCUAUCCUUGCGUGGCUUAUGAGUUUCUAUAAAUAUAUGAGCCUGUGAUGGUUCAACUCCAUCUUUAGCCUAACAAACUUACUAAUUUAGUACAACAUGAUUAUAUAUAGUCACAAAACAAACUUAUAGUUGACAUUCUCGUUUACCAAAGUUAAGUUCAUGAAAUACCUUUUCGGCCAUCAAGCAUGCAAAACUCUUGGAUCCUGCAAUGUGAGGCAUCUUUUGCUUUGAACGAUUUUCUCUAUUUUUCUUACUAUGCUUCUAAUAUUAUAUGAAAAUGUUAUGAGAUAACAAUCUUAUUCUAAAUGAACAAUUACACACUUAGAUCUGAUUCUAAUAGCCAUAAUUUUUUUCAUACCUUUACUUUAUCCGAGUUCCAAAAAGAGACGAGAGAAGUCUAUUGAUCUCUUGGUACUCGUUCGGGUUUAUGCUCCAAUACACCAUCAAUAUUUUUAUAUUUGAAAUAGUAUUCUCCCUUUAGUUCACAUUUAUAGUCCUUCCAUUUCUUCCCUAAUGAUCUUAGGACCCAUUUUUCACCACGUGGAGGGAUUAAAAACUUUGACUGCAACAAAAAGAACACAAAUAUUACUUAGUAACUUUGCAUCAAAUGUACAUGGCUUUAAUUUUACAAUCUUUUUACCUCUACCAACUUGAAUAGUCUUUUGUUCUCCUUUCUUGGAAAGGCACGCCAAUCUUGGAUGUGAAGGGGUGUUAAAUUGGCAUUUCCUGCCAUAAUCCCCAAAAAGCUAGCAAGUACACGCCCUUCUUUUCCAAUAGGUUGCCAUCUAUUAUUGAAAUUUACUAUAAUCCACUCAUCUUUGGGAAGAUUCCAAAUUUCAGUUAACAAAGUAGGUCCUCCAGCCCUCUUUUCUUCUAAAACAGUUAAUACACAAAACUAUAGAGACAUUAGAAUAAAAUGUAGCUAAUUGAUAUAAGUAUAUCACUUAUGAAAAACUAAAUUUACCUGCUUGUUCAGCUUCAUUUUGUAACUCUCAAUUAUAUCUAUUGAAGAAUGCCCCAAUUGAUUCUCAUUAGAUUGUGAGUGACUAUUUAAACUUAGUUGCACAUGAUGAGUAGUUUGAGAACUUAUCUCCGAGUGCAAUUGAUUAUAAUUUUGAUGCCGAAUUGUGAUCUUAUGAAGUUCUUUCAAUCUGGCCAUAGAAACCUGCAAAAGGUAUAUAUUAAAAGCUGAUUUAUAAGAAACAUAAACUUUCUCGUGUAUAUACAAAAAAAAAAAUGUACUAAUAAAAGGAAAUCUCACUGCAACAAAGAGAGGAUCUGAUAGGCUAUGUUAACUAGCGCGCAUAGUUGAUUGCCCAAACUGCUAGAAUUGGACAAUCAAGUCACCUAAUACCGCUCAACUGAUCAAUUGAUUGAUGACCUAAACAAAACAAAACAAACCAAAACAAAACAAAAAAAACAAGUGGAGCUUUUUGAGUUUCAACAGAAUCAGUUUAAUUAACUCAAACAGCUACCCACUUGACUAGCAAGAGUUGAAAAUAACUUAUUCCAAAUAGUAGAAAACUAACCAACAAGAAUCAAACUGAGAGAAAAAAAAGAGAAAGAAUUAAUGUACAUUUGCUAGGUUCCAACUAGAUGAUUGUAUCACAAGAGGCUCACAAUCAAAAUGCUAUGACAAGAGCAUUAUGUCCAUGUUGGCAUGUCAUGGAAAAUACUGAUUAACUGUUUAUACACAAUAACCUCACGUACACCACUUAAGAACAUACCAACUUAGUUUCGAACAAUAUUAACUAUGCGAAUCUUGUAAUUAAUAUAGAUGUACGAGAGGUUUCAACCGUUGCAGGUUCUGUAGAGGAUAGAUAUAUGCAGAACUAAUGAAAAUCUACUAACAUGAUAUCAAAGUCCUUAAAUCAUGGUGAUCAAAUUUAUCCAAACAAACAUCUCCAAACAUACAUCCAAACAUAUCUAUUGAGAAAAUACACUAAUUAGAUAAAAAAAAAUUAAUUAAAUUGGAGGGGAAGAGGGAAAAUGAGGGAUGCAUAUUAAUUAAAUUGGAAGGGAAGAGGGGAAAUGGGGGAUGCAUACUUGAUGCGGCGGAUCCCCUCGAAAAAUUGGAGAACGUAGGCGUUGUCGUCAGCAGUGAAGUGGACGACGCCGGCGAUGUGGUGGUGCUCGACAUGGCCGAGGCGAUGUUGCACUAGUGCACGCGUGGUCAAACAUUUCCAAAGAGAACUCAUUAUGACAUCAUAUUUUCGUAAAUUUAAAGGAAUAUAUAUAUAUAUAUAUAUAUAUAUAUAUAUAUAUAUAUAUAUAAGUCGCGGCUACUAUGCUCAUCGUAGCACGGAGCGCUCCGUGCUACCAAGUGUUUCGAUGAUGAGCUUCCAAUCGACGAUCGCUCCGUUAGACUUGAUCUACACUAUUGAAAGUAUUUGGAAACUAAAUUUCAAAUUUUUUCGACAUCAAUUGACUAGUGAUCAAAAGAUCCUCAAAAUUGACAAUUUUAAUGGCCAUGUGGUGUGUUGUGAGUUUAACAGGUGUAAAACAAUCCAAAUGCGAUGAAAAUUUUAUAGAAAAUUCUUUCACUAUUUAGGGCAUGUUUGUUUCGAGGAAUGGAGUGGAAGUGAGACGGGGAAAGUGAUUUUCGGUGAAAACUAACCACUUCCGCUGUUUGUUCACCGUAAUUUUUAUUACGCCCGAAAGUUCAGUUCACCCAAAUAAGGAACUUGACUCGCCCUCCAUGGGCGAAGUCAAUUUCGGGGAAGUGAAAAAAAGCAAGAAUGGAUUAAUGUGUUAGGGUACUCUUCAUUUCAUCCAAUAUAUUCAAUUGUGAAAAUAAUUAAAUUUUUUAUUUGAUUGUAUGUCUAAAAUAUGAUCAAAUUUGAUUAGGUAUAGCUUAAUAUAUUUUUGUUUAAUUUGUAUAUUUAGAAAAUGAUGAAAAAUAAAUUUGUUAAAUGUUAAUAAUUUUUAACUUAGAAUUUUAUUUGUUGCAUUAUUAUAAUUUAUAUGCAAACAAAUAAUAUAAUUUUUAAAAUUUAUUUAUAAUAUAAAUAUAUAUAAUUAUAUACAUAUAAAAUUAUAUAAUUUUUAUUUAUAAUAAUUAUAUUAUUCACUAUAAGUUAUAAAAUAGACAAUAAUAUCACUUUGAGGUAAGUAUACCGGGGUGGAGAGCUACACUUUUUACGUCAAUCUAACUUCCUACCAAACAAACAACAGAACUGCCAGAACUGCACUUGCCACAGUUUAAAAACAAACAGCAUAAGUGAACUAUUUCACCCACAACUCACUUCAACCCAAAGUCCACUCCACCCCAAGUCUAUUUAGUUAACAAACAUGCCUUAGAGUAAGAUCAGUAUAUCUGAUCUUUGAAUUUAAAUCUUUAUCAUCAUUUUCAUGAGAUUUUAUUUUCAGCCGUUCAACUUUUAGACUUUGUUUGAUAGGCAAAUGAUAUGAACAAUUAUAAUUAGUUUGUAAUACUUUCAAUAGUAUAGAUCAAGGUCUAACGAGCCGAUCGUCGAUUUGGAGCCGGCAUCAUUGAAAACUUGGUAGCACGGAGCGCUCCGUGCUACAUAGUAUAGUAGCCAGUCUAUAUAAUAUAUAGAGCUAGGCGCGAAUACUAUUGAUAGCAAAAGAUCCUUUUUGCUAUCAAGUUUUUAACCCUUGAUGAAAAUUGUAGGGUUAGGAUGAUAUUAUCCUUCUUAAGUUAAGUGGUCCCCUAGAUGAGUGGUCCCACUCGGAUUAUAAUAGUUAAUCCAAUGGUUAAAAAUAAUGAAAAAAUUAAUCCAAAGGCCUAAAAACUUGAAUAGCAAAAAGGCUUUUACCUAUUAAUAGUAUCUAGCCAACUCUCUCUCUCUCUCUGUCUCUCUCUCUUCUAUAUAUAUAUAUAUAUAUUAUAUAUAUAGCUAGGCUGUAUACUAUCGUAGUACGGAAGCCUUCGUGCUACCAAUUUUUCAAUGAUGCGGCUUCCAAAUCGACGAUGCGCUCCAUUAGCCUUAAAUCUACACUAUUAAAAGUAUUUGAAAACUAAAUUCAUAAUUUUCGGCAUCAUUUACCUAUCAACGAGUAGUCCUAAAAAUGAACGUGAAAAUAAAAAUCUCAUAAAAAAUGAUGAUUAAAAAUUUGAAUAUUAAGAUCAGAGAUACUGAUCUUAACUAUACAAAGUAAAAAAAAUUUCUAUAAAAAUUUCAUCAUAUUUUUAAAUUGUUUUAUACUGUUAAAUUCACAAAGCAACCAAUCUAAUAUUAAAAUUGUCAAUUUUGAGACCUUUUGAUCA